UGUAUCGUCUGCAGGUUCUUGGUUCCCGCACCGUCUCCGGGACUCGGAGUUUCCGGCUGCGGGUAGCGUAGGGGACAAGAGAUGCGUAGUUACUACCCCCGGCAGGAUGUGGGAGAUGCCCCUCUCCCACGUUUCCCUCACCCACUCCCAGCCCAGCUUUGUGCUUUGACUUAACCUAAAUGAUGAGAUCGAUUAGGAAAGGAAUUGGAGACAAAACAAGACACUAGCGUUUUCUGAGGUGUCCACAGGGUCGGUUUCUCUGAGCCCUCUCCUGGGCUUGCCUACGGCUGACUUCUCACUGUGGCCUUUCCUCUGUGCCUGUGCACUCCUGGUGUCUCUUUCCUCUUCUUAUAAGGACACCAGUCCUAUCCUUGAGGACCCGACCCUUAUGACCUUAUUUAACCUUAAUCACCUCCUUAAGUGCUCUGUCUCCAAAUACAGUCACACUGGGGGUUAGGGCUUCCAGUGCAUGGAUUUUGCGAGGGGCACACAAUUCAGUCCAGAACAGUUGGGAACUAUCUUGUCACUCUCUGUAUUUUCCCAUAGCACCUAGCACAGCGCCUUGCAAAAUGGUAAAUCUAGAUUUUUGUUAACAAAGUGAUAGAAGACCUGAUGGGAACUGGGAGAGGAGUUAUAACGUCAUUUAAAUCUAUUGUCUUAGCUCAUCUUUGUUUAUAAAAUUUCUGAGCUCUAUUCUGGAAGGUCCUAGUUCCUGCUUGGAACUUCAAAGUCUCCAGGACAAUGGCACAGAGGUGUCGCAGUGGAUGUGGGAUCAUUGGAUGAUCACAGCAUGGCUUGGGGGCCUCCGUGGCCAUUCAUCUUGGUGAGCAGAGAUUGCAUUGCCACUUUGAAUGAUUGGACUAGAACAUCUGUCUUGGCAUCCUGUCCCCUUCAGAACCCACGCUGGAUUCUUUUUGGCUCAUAUGGCUAGUGGCCGCCAUACUGAAGAGUGCAGCUCUUUUCUCCUCCUUGGGACAGAUGUGGCUGAAGAUAAGAGACUGAGGAGAUGUGCAGACACAAAGUGAAAUGUUAAGCCGACUCGUUACCCAAGGAGAGCACGUUUCUGUAGUUGUCCAGCAUCACGUCUCUGUAGAGGGCCUUCUGAGGCCAGUCCAGUGCGUCCCACUCUUCCCUGGUGAAGUACACAGCCACGUCCUCAAAGGCCAGCAACCCCUGGAAACACAGCGACUAACUGCAGCUGCGAUUCUUACAAUAACUUCGUGAGCUACAGUAUUAUUAUUACAGAUGGUCAACACUGGAGGCUUCUCUGGCCGUUUGGUCUCUGCUGCAGUCACUCAGCUCUGCUCUGGUAGCACAGACGCAGCACAGACAACAGGAGAGCAAAUGGGUGUGGCUGUGACCCAAUAAAACUACUCCCGGCUCCAGGAAACAUUUACUGAGCACCAAGAAGUCGCCGGCCUCCGCGCCACACGCCAGUGACAGUGAACGCACAGAGGUGACAGCUCCUGCUGGGCCCACAGGACCAGCUCCUCGGGCUGCGCACUGCUCGACUCUAGGGGACACUUCACAUGGCAGCUGUGACCACGGGGCCCCCAGAGCUGCUAAGUGCACAGCCUGUGCGACCCACGGAGCCCCAGCCCCGCUUCAGGGAGUGAAGGGUCCAGUGGGGAAGCGGGAGAAGUCAACACGGUGACGAUCCGGGGGUCCACGGGGGCCGAUGGGGGCUGUGAGGACAGGGGCUCACCCCACCCCCUCCUCUCAGGAGGCACUGCCAGUCACAUCCCAGAAAACAGCCCCCGGGGCACAUGGCCCUCACCUCCUCCCGCCUCCCCACCGGCUCCCAGACAUUCCCUGCAUCGGGCCUCACCCCUCCUCUCCUCUCCCUCCUGGUGACCCCUCCUCCUCGGCCCGAUUCCAUUCUCUCCUGUCUCCUCCAGGGUCUUAAUCCAAUGACCACUACUCUUCUGUCUUUGCCCUUUUCGCCCUUGUGAUACUGUGAUUUAAGUAAGAAAUAUAUAUUUGGU
Long non-coding RNA from Eubalaena glacialis (North Atlantic right whale), 1985 nucleotides. RefSeq lists it as uncharacterized. NCBI's taxonomy places the organism in Eukaryota, Metazoa, Chordata, Mammalia, Artiodactyla, Balaenidae. The record is from RefSeq and is a predicted model, not a curated record. The transcript has 5 exons.